RNAcentral lists this long non-coding RNA (297 nucleotides) under Struthio camelus australis. RNAcentral's name for it is "lncRNA (ENSSCUG00000009960.1)". The record is from RNAcentral. Lineage: Eukaryota; Metazoa; Chordata; Aves; Struthioniformes; Struthionidae.
GGGUCUUAUGUAUUAAGCCUGGCAACCUGAUUUUUGAAUAGAUGCUGUCCUGGAUUUACAAGUCCCAGUCAUCCUUUUUCCUCAUGCGUACAUGCAGGAAACACUGCUUUGGAGAAAGAGAGUUAAAAGAUGCAGGAUGCCAUGCAGUUUCUUGUCUACAUAUUGGAAACCAUCAUGAUCAUAUGCAAGUUCUUCACUGAUGCGUUCACACUCUGGUUCACAUGUUUUGCUUUUCCUGUGAGAAACUCAGAAGAAAUUUCUUUGUGUAGGUUCCCAGAGUGUAGGAAAUUACUAGUG